Molecule: long non-coding RNA, 614 nt
Organism: Labeo rohita (rohu)
Lineage: Eukaryota; Metazoa; Chordata; Actinopteri; Cypriniformes; Cyprinidae
Exons: 4
Source: RefSeq, a predicted model, not a curated record
UCAGAUAUGACAUGCUAUAUUAUUUCUUUCGAACUGUAUUUCUAUCCCGGUGCUGUUUCGAGCCGUUUGUUCCCGCUUCAGCGGCCUUCAGUCAGCGAGAGGUGACAGCCGUCGAGUGUUUUCAGAGAAGAAAAGGCUCCAAACACUGCAGCUGACUUUGGAUUCACCUGAGACAGCCUCUGAGGAGAAAUGUCAGACAGUCAGUGCUGCUAUUCUUCUGGAAAACUGCUGCUCUUCAAAGAACAGUCAUCAAUCAGGAUCCUCUGUUCCCAGAACAAACCAUUCAUCUGAAGGACUGUGAAAAUAUGACAGAACCACCAGUGACAACAAAAUAAAUAUUGCAGAAUAAGCAUAAUGUUAUUAAACAAAAUAAGUUAUUAUUAUUAUUAUUAUUUAGGGCUUGAUUAAAAAGAAAAGGAAUAGUGUUUCAUGUUUGUUUUGUGAUGGUGUUUCAUGAGUCUUUUGUUUGUCCUGAGCAGUUCAAUUGCCCACUUUUCUUCAUAAAAAUCCUCAAGAUCCUGCACAUUCUCAGGUGUUCCAGCAUCUUUUCAUUUGAACCCUUUUCAGCAGUGACUGUGUGAUUUCGGAUCCAUCUUUUCACACUGAGGACAAUU